UCUCCGUUGGUGAACCAGCGGAGGGAUCAUUAAAGAGUUCUAUAGCUCCCAAACCCAUGUGAACAUACCUUACGUUGCCUCGGCAGGUCGCGCCUACCCCGUAACGUCCUACCCUGUAGGACCUACCCGGUAGACGCGGGUAAGCCUGCCGGCGGCCCACGAAACUCUGUUUAAUAUUGAAUUCUGAACCUAAAACUAAAUAAGUUAAAACUUUCAACAACGGAUCUCUUGGUUCUG
RNAcentral lists this unclassified non-coding RNA (237 nucleotides) under plant metagenome. Its description in RNAcentral is "partial contains small subunit ribosomal RNA, internal transcribed spacer 1, and 5.8S ribosomal RNA". The record is from RNAcentral.